RNAcentral lists this transfer RNA (73 nucleotides) under Felis catus (domestic cat). It matches the Rfam family "tRNA". From Rfam's summary of the family: Transfer RNA (tRNA) molecules are approximately 80 nucleotides in length. Their secondary structure includes four short double-helical elements and three loops (D, anti-codon, and T loops). Lineage: Eukaryota; Metazoa; Chordata; Mammalia; Carnivora; Felidae. The record is from Rfam by way of RNAcentral.
GCCUGGCUGGCUCAGUUGGUAGAGCAUGAAACUCUUGAUCUCAGGGCUGUAAGUUCAAGCCCCACAUUGGGUG